GGAAUCUUGCGCAAUGGGCGAAAGCCUGACGCAGCAACGCCGCGUGCGGGAAGAAGGCUUUCGGGCUGUAAACCGCUUUCAGCAGGAACGAAAAUGACGGUACCUGCAGAAGAAGGAGCGGCCAACUAUGUGCCAGCAGCCGCGGUGAUACAUAGGCUUCAAGCGUUGUCCGGAUUUAUUGGGCGUGAAGAGUUCGUAGGCGGUCAAGUAAGUCGGGUGUGAAAAUUCUGGGCUCAACCCAGAGACGCCACCCGAUACUGCUUAACUUGAGUUCGAUAGGGGAGUGGGGAAUUCCUAGUGUAGCGGUGAAAUGCGCAGAUAUUAGGAGGAACACCGGUGGCGAAGGCGCCACUCUGGAUCGAUACUGACGCUGAGGAACGAAAGCAUGGGUAGCAAACAGGAUUAGAUACCCUGGUAGUCCAUGCGGUAAACGGUGGGCACUAGGUGUGGGAUUCUAUUAACGAAUUCCGCGCCGUCGCUAACGCAUUAAGUGCCCCGCCUGGGGAGUACGGUCGCAAGACUAAAACUCAAAGGAAUUGACGG
This 543-nucleotide ribosomal RNA is filed under the name uncultured bacterium. RNAcentral's name for it is "bacterial SSU rRNA". It matches the Rfam family "Bacterial small subunit ribosomal RNA", at positions 358 to 916 of the family's 1533-position model. The record is from RNAcentral.